CAAGAGUUGCAAAAACUCCCACAAACCAUCGCGAAUCGUUACCCAGACGUUGCCUCGCUCUGGCUUCCGGAGGCCCGGGCCCCCUCGGCCCCGCUCGCGGGAGGCUGCCCGAGUGCCGAUACCAGACUCUUGAUAGUUUAUUCGGCCUCUCUGAGUAUGACUUUUUAAAUAAGUCA
Molecule: unclassified non-coding RNA, 176 nt
Filed under: soil metagenome
Description: partial internal transcribed spacer 1
Source: RNAcentral